This 329-nucleotide ribosomal RNA is filed under the name uncultured eukaryote. RNAcentral's name for it is "partial 18S ribosomal RNA". It matches the Rfam family "Eukaryotic small subunit ribosomal RNA", at positions 1470 to 1796 of the family's 1831-position model. The record is from RNAcentral.
CCCUUAGAUGUUCUGGGCCGCACGCGCGCUACACUGAUGCAUUCAACGAGUCUAAAACCUGCUCUGAUAGGGGUGGGUAAUCUUUUGAAUGUGCAUCGUGAUUGGGAUAGAUGAUUGCAAUUUUUCAUCUUCAACGAGGAAUGCCUAGUAAACGCAAGCCAUCAGCUUGCAUUGAUUACGUCCCUGCCCUUUGUACACACCGCCCGUCGCUCCUACCGAUUGAAUGAUCCGAUGAAUAUCAUGGAUUGAGGAUGCAAGCAGGUUCGCCUGUCUUCAUCUUCGAGAAGUGAAGUAAAUCUUAUCAUUUAGAGGAAGGAGAAGUCGUAACA